AUAAUGGGUUAAUCCAAACAUUCCCGUCAUAAUUGCAGAAAGAUGCAACUCAAUCACAGCUGAGUUGAAAGUGGUAAUCUAAGGAUUGGUGAUAUACUAUUGUGAUGGGUGAUUGGAUUCAGUGGUUGAAGGUGAUGCAGCUUUAGUCAUCAAGUAUUUGAGCUCUAGUGUUAGGGGCUCUUCACUAU
This is a long non-coding RNA of Telopea speciosissima, 188 nucleotides long. RefSeq lists it as uncharacterized. The record is from RefSeq and is a predicted model, not a curated record. NCBI's taxonomy places the organism in Eukaryota, Viridiplantae, Streptophyta, Magnoliopsida, Proteales, Proteaceae. The transcript is spliced from 3 exons.